UGAGUACGAGCUGCUACGGCAGCGAAGUGGGUGAUGUCAAGCUUCCAAGAAAAGCCCUAUACCCGUUAAGGCAUGAUGGCCUGUACCCGAAACCGACACAGGUGGGGUGGUAGAGAAUACCGAGGGGCGCGAGGUAACUCUCUCUAAAGAACUCGGCGAAAUGGCCCCGUAACUUCGGGAGAAGGGGUGCCACCGCAAGGUGGUCGCAGUGAAGAGGCCCAGGCGACUGUUUACCAAAAACACAGGUCUCCGCUAAGUCGCAAGACGAUGUAUGGGGGCUGACGCCUGCCCAGUGCCGGAAGGUUAAGGAAGCUGGUCAGCGCAAGCGAAGCUGGCGACUGAAGCCCCGGUGAACGGCGGCCGUAACUAUAACGGUCCUAAGGUAGCGAAAUUCCUUGUCGGGUAAGCUCCGACCCGCACGAAAGGCGUAACGAUCUGGGCGCUGUCUCGGAGAGAGGCUCGGCGAAAUAGAAUUGUCUGUGAAGAUGCGGACUACGUGCACCCGGACAGAAAGACCCUAUGAAGCUUUACUGUAGCUUGGUAUUGUGCCCGGGCUCUGAAUGCGCAGGAUAGGUGGGAGGCUUUGAUCCAUUGCUUGUGGGUGAUGGUGAGCCACUGGUGAGAUACCACUCUUUCAGAGCUAGGGUUCUAACGGUCACCCGUUAUCCGGGGACCGGACAGUAUCAGGUGGGCAGUUUGACUGGGGCGGUCGCCUCCUACAAGGUAACGGAGGCGCGCAAAGGUUCCCUCAGGCUGGUUGGAAAUCAGCCGACGAGUGUAAAGGCAGAAGGGAGCUUGACUGUGAGACCUACAAGUCGAACAGGGACGAAAGUCGGCCUUAGUGAUCCGACGGUUCUGAGUGGAAGGGCCGUCGCUCAACGGAUAAAAGUUACUCUAAGGAUAACAGGCUGAUCUCCCCCAAGAGUUCACAUCGACGGGGAGGUUUGGCACCUCGAUGUCGGCUCAUCGCAACCUGGGGCUGAAGUCGGUCCCAAGGGUUGGGCUGUUCGCCCAUUAAAGCGGUACGCGAGCUGGGUUCAGAACGUCGUGAGACAGUUCGGUCCAUAUCCGGUGCACGCGCAGGAACAUUGAGAGGAUUUCUCCCUAGUACGAGAGGACCGGGAGGAACGCACCUCUGGUGUACCAGUUAUCGUGCCAACGGUAAACGCUGGGUAGCCAUGUGCGGAGUGGAUAACCGCUGAAAGCAUCUAAGUGGGAAGCCCACCUCAAGAUGAGUGUUCCCAUGGCAUAAGCCAGUAAGGUCACGGGAAGAACACCCGUUGAUAGGCUCUACGUGGAAGCGUGGCAACACGUGAAGCGGAGGAGUACUAAUAGACCGAGGGCUUGACC
This 1350-nucleotide ribosomal RNA is filed under the name metagenome. RNAcentral's name for it is "bacterial LSU rRNA". It matches the Rfam family "Bacterial large subunit ribosomal RNA", at positions 1564 to 2925 of the family's 2925-position model. The record is from RNAcentral.